UACGUAGGGUGCGAGCGUUGUCCGGAAUUAUUGGGCGUAAAGAGCUUGUAGGCGGUUUGUCGCGUCUGCUGUGAAAAUCCGGGGCUCAACCCCGGACUUGCAGUGGGUACGGGCAGACUAGAGUGUGGUAGGGGAGACUGGAAUUCCUGGUGUUGCGGUGGAAUGCGCAGAUAUCAGGAGGAACACCGAUGGCGAAGGCAGGUCUCUGGGCCACUACUGACGCUGAGAAGCGAAAGCAUGGGGAGCGAACAGG
This 253-nucleotide ribosomal RNA is filed under the name uncultured bacterium. RNAcentral's name for it is "partial 16S ribosomal RNA". It matches the Rfam family "Bacterial small subunit ribosomal RNA", at positions 524 to 776 of the family's 1533-position model. The record is from RNAcentral.